RNAcentral lists this ribosomal RNA (431 nucleotides) under uncultured bacterium. RNAcentral describes it as "partial 16S ribosomal RNA". It matches the Rfam family "Bacterial small subunit ribosomal RNA", at positions 29 to 507 of the family's 1533-position model. The record is from RNAcentral.
AGCGAACGCUGGCGGCAGGCUUAACACAUGCAAGUCGAGCGCCCCGCAAGGGGAGCGGCAGACGGGAGAGUAACACGUGGGAACAUACCUUUUGGUUCGGAACAACUGAGGGAAACUUCAGCUAAUACCGGAUAAGCCCUUACGGGGAAAGAUUUAUCGCCGAAAGAUUGGCCCGCGUCUGAUUAGCUAGUUGGUGAGGUAACGGCUCACCAAGGCGACGAUCAGUAGCUGGUCUGAGAGGAUGAUCAGCCUCACUGGGACUGAGACACGGCCCAGACUCCUACGGGAGGCAGCAGUGGGGAAUAGUGGACAAUGGGGGCAACCCUGAUCCAGCCAUGCCGCGUGAGUGAUGAAGGCCUUAGGGUUGUAAAGCUCUUUUGCCCGGGAAGAUAAUGACGGUACCGGGAGAAUAAGCCCCGGCUAACUUCGUG